RNAcentral lists this ribosomal RNA (497 nucleotides) under uncultured bacterium. RNAcentral's name for it is "partial 16S ribosomal RNA". It matches the Rfam family "Bacterial small subunit ribosomal RNA", at positions 28 to 507 of the family's 1533-position model. The record is from RNAcentral.
GAUGAACGCUGGCGGCGUGCCUAAUACAUGCAAGUCGAGCGAACAGAUGAGGAGCUUGCUCCUCUGACGUUAGCGGCGGACGGGUGAGUAACACGUGGAUAACCUACCUAUAAGACUGGGAUAACUUCGGGAAACCGGAGCUAAUACCGGAUGAUAUAUUGAACCGCAUGGUUCAAUAGUGAAAGACGGUCUUGCUGUCACUUAUAGAUGGAUCCGCGCUGCAUUAGCUAGUUGGUAAGGUAACGGCUUACCAAGGCAACGAUGCGUAGCCGACCUGAGAGGGUGAUCGGCCACACUGGAACUGAGACACGGUCCAGACUCCUACGGGAGGCAGCAGUAGGGAAUCUUCCGCAAUGGGCGAAAGCCUGACGGAGCAACGCCGCGUGAGUGAUGAAGGUCUUCGGAUCGUAAAACUCUGUUAUUAGGGAAGAACAAAUGUGUAAGUAACUAUGCACGUCUUGACGGUACCUAAUCAGAAAGCCACGGCUAACUACGUG